RNAcentral lists this ribosomal RNA (278 nucleotides) under uncultured prokaryote. Its description in RNAcentral is "partial 16S ribosomal RNA". It matches the Rfam family "Bacterial small subunit ribosomal RNA", at positions 524 to 801 of the family's 1533-position model. The record is from RNAcentral.
UACGUAGGUGGCAAGCGUUGUCCGGAAUUACUAGGCGUAAAGGGCAGGCAGGCGGAUCCAUAAGUUUAUCGUUUAAGGCGUCGGCUUAACCGGCGUAGGGCGGUAGAUACUGUGGAUCUGGAAUGCGGUUGGGGAAGACAGAAUUCCUGGUGUAGCGGUGGAAUGCGCAGAGAUCAGGAGGAAUACCGAAGGCGAAGGCAGUCUUCCAAGCCGUUAUUGACGCUCAACUGCGAAGGUGUGGGUAUCAAACAGGAUUAGAUACCCCGGUAGUCCCUGAG